Molecule: long non-coding RNA, 298 nt
Organism: Oreochromis aureus
Lineage: Eukaryota; Metazoa; Chordata; Actinopteri; Cichliformes; Cichlidae
Exons: 3
Source: RefSeq, a predicted model, not a curated record
CUUGGACGUCAUGGUACUGGUCCUGCUUACCAGCAGCUCAGUAAACUCUAUAGUGACAUUCAGCAAUCCAAGAACCAGAAUUUUACACAAGACAACAGAACCCAAGGAAUCAUGGAGAAAAGCCAGUGGGAUUUGAAAAAAAUCCGUACCCAGAGAAGAAGACUGACAAGGCUUGAUGACUUUGUGGAAAUUUAUCAAAAAAUGCACGAUGCCCUCCUGCUUGAAUAUGCAGACAUGAAAAAAUCAAGACAAAAGUCUUUUCGCGUGGAAAUGGAGAAAUGGAAAGACAAACGCAUUA